CACGUAGGGGGCGAGCGUUGUCCGGAUUUAUUGGGCGUAAAGAGCUCGUAGGCGGUUUCGUAAGUCGGAUGUGAAAACUCCAGGCUCAACUUGGAGACGCCAUUCGAUACUGCGAUGACUUGAGUCCGGUAGGGGAGUGUGGAAUUCCUGGUGUAGCGGUGGAAUGCGCAGAUAUCAGGAGGAACACCAAUAGCGAAGGCAGCUCGCUGGGACGGUACUGACGCUAAGGCGCGAAAGCGUGGGGAGCGAACAGG
This 254-nucleotide ribosomal RNA is filed under the name uncultured bacterium. Its description in RNAcentral is "partial 16S ribosomal RNA". It matches the Rfam family "Bacterial small subunit ribosomal RNA", at positions 524 to 776 of the family's 1533-position model. The record is from RNAcentral.